GCCCAGCCCGGGGUAGGGUCCGGAGCCGGGGACGCAGCCCCUUCUGCGUGCCUGACGACCUCGGCGGCGACGAGAUCUGGAGGGGAAAGUGAACGGCCCGUGUGCGUAAGAUAAGCACCGACUGAACCAGGUCCGCGCACCUGCCAGGUACGGACAGGUAGAGCCGGCAACGUUCAGACCUAAGAACGUGACAAGCACACCCUGCCUGCGCAAGGUGCAAUCGCGGGCGCACUGAGGGAAUCUGGCGCACAGAGGCUGGUCCACAAACUGUUGGAGAUGAAUACAUUGUAAGAGAAUGAUAGUGUCUGGUAAAAAUAUUGUCAGUUUCCUGGUGGAUCAGCUGGGACUCCUUACAGAGCAAGUAACCGGACACCCACCGCAAAUUGGCUUAACCGGAAUCUCUGUGGCUAAUGUGGUCCACAUAAGGGCAAUCCUAUUUCCAGGACCAAAUCUAGAAGAAACAAGAAAGCCCACGAUUGCUGUGCCUUCUUCCUGCCACAUGGUGACGCUGUUGAAAUGGGUCCUGCGCAGCCUGGUGGACAUUGCUUGUCAUUGCUCUGCUGUUGUCUCUGUUGCUUCAGGUCCUUCUAUUAGUGCCACUCGAUUUUCCAGAGGAAACAGUAUGCCUUGGCUACAAUUACAGUUCUUCAAUUAAAUUAGACAAAUACUUAUUGAGUGCCUACUACAUGCCAGGCUCCGAUCUAGGUUCUGGGAAAACGUCAGAAUGAAAUAGACAAUGAUCCCUA
Molecule: long non-coding RNA, 746 nt
Organism: Lemur catta (Ring-tailed lemur)
Lineage: Eukaryota; Metazoa; Chordata; Mammalia; Primates; Lemuridae
Exons: 3
Source: RefSeq, a predicted model, not a curated record